Molecule: unclassified non-coding RNA, 240 nt
Filed under: soil metagenome
Description: partial contains 5.8S ribosomal RNA, internal transcribed spacer 2, and large subunit ribosomal RNA
Source: RNAcentral
AACAUCGCGCACCUGCGGGAACCUGCGGAAGGAUCAUUACUGAGUCACGUGCUCAAACAACCCUUCUGUGGACCUGAAAUAAAACCGUUGCCUCGGCGGGCGGUCCCCCCCAAACCAACCCCACGUGGUGGGUUAGGGGAGACCAGACAGUCCGGUACGCUUAAGGCGUCCGGCGCCAGCCGCUGGCCCCAAACAAUUAAACUCUAGUAAUCUCUACCUUCUGAGUUUCAAUAUUUAAAA